RNAcentral lists this ribosomal RNA (339 nucleotides) under uncultured bacterium. Its description in RNAcentral is "bacterial SSU rRNA". It matches the Rfam family "Bacterial small subunit ribosomal RNA", at positions 1 to 334 of the family's 1533-position model. The record is from RNAcentral.
CUAGCGACUACAGUAGUUUGAUCCUGGCUCAGGACGAACGCUGGCGGCACGCUUAACACAUGCAAGUCGAACGGUGAAAAGAAGCUUGCUUCUUGGAUCAGUGGCGGACGGGUGAGUAACACGUGAGCAACCUGCCUUUAAGAGGGGGAUAACGUCCGGAAACGGACGCUAGUACCGCAUAACAUAUGGGAUUCGCAUGUUUUCCAUAUCAAAGAUUUAUCGCUUAGAGAUGGGCUCGCGUCUGAUUAGCUAGUUGGUGAGGUAACGGCUCACCAAGGCGACGAUCAGUAGCCGGACUGAGAGGUUGAACGGCCACAUUGGGACUGAGACACGGCCCAG